This is a long non-coding RNA of Amblyraja radiata (thorny skate), 162 nucleotides long. RefSeq lists it as uncharacterized. The transcript is spliced from 3 exons. The record is from RefSeq and is a predicted model, not a curated record. NCBI's taxonomy places the organism in Eukaryota, Metazoa, Chordata, Chondrichthyes, Rajiformes, Rajidae.
GUUAAAGAAGUUGUUGAAACCUACAAGGAUCAGGUGAAAUCUACCAUCCAGUCUCUUACAAAAAAGAAACCAGGGAUCCAGCAAAUGGAGCAGCAACAGAAACAGAAGAUUUCUGGAGUUCUGGAACAGUCACAGGACCUUCAGUCCAAGAUCACAUCCCAG